AAGCACCUUUUCUCAUACAGACUUGCUGGUCAGACAGUUCUUGAAACCUGCCUGUCCCCACUUCCCAAUGCUAGGGGGACAGCCAUUCACAGCCAUGUCUAGCCUUUUACAUUUUGGAUUCUCAUGCUUCCAGAGCAAGCCAUCUUACCACUGAGUCAUUUUCCAAAGCACCCUGCCUCCUGAGUUGCUUUUAAAGAGAAAGGCUACCCUGAAUGGAUUUAUAGAAGCUGUGUUUCAGUGAGCCCUGAAUGUGGCAUGCCCAGUUUUCAUUUGUCAAAGGGAAAGAGAAGAGAAAGAGCUGCGGACUUCUUCCUACCAUCCUACAGAAAGCAAGUAAACUCAGACUAAGACACCUCAUCUCUUUUGGCUGUACCUUUGGGCGAAGGCAUUACUAUUCUGAGGAAUUCGAGUUCAGAGGGUGGUUCAGAGAGCAGCUUCCUUCUGGAAUCCAUUCCACGUAUUCAGACACCUCCUGACAAAGUCAAAGGGCAGAAUUGUGGGUCCAGGAGUUUGUGAGGCCUCUCCAAUAUACAACACUGAAAAAAAAUGGUGGCCAAGGAUCCUGCCAUCAGAAAGAGCCACUGACAGUGAUUAAAUGUGACCACCUCCUGGCUAAGGCUAAAACAAAAUAUGUCUGAG
Non-coding RNA from Rattus norvegicus (Norway rat), 639 nucleotides. Lineage: Eukaryota; Metazoa; Chordata; Mammalia; Rodentia; Muridae. The record is from RefSeq and is a predicted model, not a curated record.